CCUACGGGAUGCAGCAGUGGGGAAUAUUGGGCAAUGGGCGCAAGCCUGACCCAGCAACGCCGCGUGAAGGAAGAAGGCUUUCGGGUUGUAAACUUCUUUUCUCAGGGACGAAGCAAGUGACGGUACCUGAGGAAUAAGCCACGGCUAACUACGUGCCAGCAGCCGCGGUAAUACGUAGGUGGCAAGCGUUAUCCGGAUUUACUGGGUGUAAAGGGCGUGUAGGCGGGAAAGCAAGUCAGGUGUUAAAACCAUGGGCUCAACCUAUGGCCGGCAGUUGAAACUGUUUUUCUUGAGUACUAGGGAGGCAGACGGAAUGCCGGGUGUAGCGGUGAAAUGCGUAGAUAUUAGGAGGAACAC
Molecule: ribosomal RNA, 357 nt
Filed under: uncultured bacterium
Lineage: Bacteria
Description: partial 16S ribosomal RNA
Rfam family: Bacterial small subunit ribosomal RNA
Source: RNAcentral